RNAcentral lists this ribosomal RNA (119 nucleotides) under Helianthus annuus (common sunflower). Lineage: Eukaryota; Viridiplantae; Streptophyta; Magnoliopsida; Asterales; Asteraceae. The record is from RNAcentral.
GGUUGCGAUCAUAACAACACUAAUGCACCAGAUCCCAUCAGAACUCCGCAGUUAAGCGUGCUUGGGCGAGAGUAGUACUAGGAUGGGUGACCCCCUGGGAAGUCCUCGUGUUGCAACCC